GACGAACGCUGGCGGCGUGCCUAAUACAUGCCAGUUGAGCGCUGAAGGUUGGUACUUGUACCAACUGGAUGAGCAGCGGACGGGUGAGUAACGCGUGGGGAAUCUGCCUUUGAGCGGGGGACAACAUUUGGAAACGAAUGCUAAUACCGCAUAAAAACUUUAAACACAAGUUUUAAGUUUGAAAGAUGCAAUUGCAUCACUCAAAGAUGAUCCCGCGUUGUAUUAGCUAGUUGGUGAGGUAAAGGCUCACCAAGGCGAUGAUACAUAGCCGACCUGAGAGGGUGAUCGGCCACAUUGGGACUGAGACACGGCCCAAACUCCUACGGGAGGCAGCAGUAGGGAAUCUUCGGCAAUGGACGAAAGUCUGACCGAGCAACGCCGCGUGAGUGAAGAAGGUUUUCGGAUCGUAAAACUCUGUUGGUAGAGAAGAACGUUGGUGAGAGUGGAAAGCUCAUCAAGUGACGGUAACUACCCAGAAAGGGACGGCUAACUACGUG
RNAcentral lists this ribosomal RNA (497 nucleotides) under uncultured bacterium. RNAcentral's name for it is "partial 16S ribosomal RNA". It matches the Rfam family "Bacterial small subunit ribosomal RNA", at positions 28 to 507 of the family's 1533-position model. The record is from RNAcentral.